UCUAUAAAUUGACCUCAUUGCGGGGAAUCCGGUGCCUCGCCUCGCUGAACUCGGCAAAGCGGGAAAACCGGAACUGUGCCGCAACGGUAUUUCGCAAGCUCGAUAUAAAUUUAAGACACGCGCGUCGAGAAACAAUGUUCCACAACGUGCCAUGUUGAGAGUUUACUCCGAGUGAAACGAGGAGUCCGAAUACCGCGAUGAGUCCUAAGAAUCC
This 214-nucleotide non-coding RNA is filed under the name Candidatus Curtissiibacteriota. The record is from RNAcentral.